UGAGUAACACGUGGGUAACCUGCCCAUAAGACUGGGAUAACUCCGGGAAACCGGGGCUAAUACCGGAUAACAUUUUGAACUGCAUGGUUCGAAAUUGAAAGGCGGCUUCGGCUGUCACUUAUGGAUGGACCCGCGUCGCAUUAGCUAGUUGGUGAGGUAACGGCUCACCAAGGCAACGAUGCGUAGCCGACCUGAGAGGGUGAUCGGCCACACUGGGACUGAGACACGGCCCAGACUCCUACGGGAGGCAGCAGUAGGGAAUCUUCCGCAAUGGACGAAAGUCUGACGGAGCAACGCCGCGUGAGUGAUGAAGGCUUUCGGGUCGUAAAACUCUGUUGUUAGGGAAGAACAAGUGCUAGUUGAAUAAGCUGGCACCUUGACGGUACCUAACCAGAAAGCCACGGCUAACUACGUGCCAGCAGCCGCGGUAAUACGUAGGUGGCAAGCGUUAUCCGGAAUUAUUGGGCGUAAAGCGCGCGCAGGUGGUUUCUUAAGUCU
RNAcentral lists this ribosomal RNA (498 nucleotides) under uncultured bacterium. RNAcentral's name for it is "bacterial SSU rRNA". It matches the Rfam family "Bacterial small subunit ribosomal RNA", at positions 107 to 590 of the family's 1533-position model. The record is from RNAcentral.